RNAcentral lists this ribosomal RNA (301 nucleotides) under uncultured bacterium. RNAcentral describes it as "partial 16S ribosomal RNA". It matches the Rfam family "Bacterial small subunit ribosomal RNA", at positions 509 to 809 of the family's 1533-position model. The record is from RNAcentral.
CAGCAGCCGCGGUAAUACGUAGGGUGCAAGCGUUAAUCGGAAUUACUGGGCGUAAAGCGUGCGCAGGCGGUUAUGUAAGACAGUUGUGAAAUCCCCGGGCUCAACCUGGGAACUGCAUCUGUGACUGCAUAGCUAGAGUACGGUAGAGGGGGAUGGAAUUCCGCGUGUAGCAGUGAAAUGCGUAGAUAUGCGGAGGAACACCGAUGGCGAAGGCAAUCCCCUGGACCUGUACUGACGCUCAUGCACGAAAGCGUGGGGAGCAAACAGGAUUAGAUACCCCUGUAGUCCCUGUCUCUUAUAU